AUGACAUCCUCGCGUUUGAGUGAAGAAAGCGGUAGAAUCUUUGUUCACUUCAAUGACAACACUGAACUGGAAGCAAGGAGAUUAGUGUCUGCAGAUCGAUUCACUUUGCUAGAAGUUGACUACAAAGCUGGUUGCAGAUAUGCUAUUCAGAACCAGUUAAUGUCUGCUCCGGUUUUUGAUUUAAACGGCAAAGUUAUUGGGCUAGUGACUUCUCAGUGUGGCACGGAUAAGACCAAAAAUGAUAUCAAGAUUGGACUUUUAGCCUCUCAUGCUCAGAAGAUUCGUGAUGACCUACUAGAGGAAAGCAAGAAAGAAAUGAAGGUAGCUGAGCGCUCUGAGGAAAGCAAGCAGCAUGAAGAAGGAGCUGAGACUAACAGCUCCGCGGGUACAAGGUUUCUUUUGCCAAAAUAA
This 411-nucleotide ribosomal RNA is filed under the name Triticum aestivum (bread wheat). RNAcentral describes it as "partial small subunit ribosomal RNA". Lineage: Eukaryota; Viridiplantae; Streptophyta; Magnoliopsida; Poales; Poaceae. The record is from RNAcentral.